RNAcentral lists this ribosomal RNA (269 nucleotides) under uncultured archaeon. RNAcentral describes it as "partial 16S ribosomal RNA". It matches the Rfam family "Archaeal small subunit ribosomal RNA", at positions 716 to 982 of the family's 1478-position model. The record is from RNAcentral.
AGUCACUGACAUUAGAUACCCGCGUAGUCCAGGGUGUAAACGCUGCAGACUUGGUGUUGGGAACCCUUCGGGGGUGCUCGAGUGCCGGAGAGAAGUUGUUAAGUCUGCUACUUGGGGAGUACGUCCGCAAAGGAUGGAAACUUAAAGGAAUUGGCGGGGGAGCACCGCAACGGGAGGAGCGUGCGGUUUAAUUGGAUUCAACGCCGAAAAACUCGACCAGCAGCGACUGUUACAUGAAAGUCAGGUUGAUGACCUUACUAGAUUUUCAG